GAUGAACGCUGGCGGCGUGCCUAAUACAUGCAAGUCGAGCGAACGGACGAGAAGCUUGCUUCUCUGAUGUUAGCGGCGGACGGGUGAGUAACACGUGGAUAACCUACCUAUAAGACUGGGAUAACUUCGGGAAACCGGAGCUAAUACCGGAUAAUAUUUUGAACCGCAUGGUUCAAAAGUGAAAGACGGUCUUGCUGUCACUUAUAGAUGGAUCCGCGCUGCAUUAGCUAGUUGGUAAGGUAACGGCUUACCAAGACAACGAUGCAUAGCCGACCUGAGAGGGUGAUCGGCCGCACUGGAACUGAGACACGGUCCAGACUCCUACGGGAGGCAGCAGUAGGGAAUCUUCCGCAAUGGGCGAAAGCCUGACGGAGCAACGCCGCGUGAGUGAUGAAGGUCUUCGGAUCGUAAAACUCUGUUAUUAGGGAAGAACAUAUGUGUAAGUAACUGUGCACAUCUUGACGGUACCUAAUCAGAAAGCCACGGCUAACUACGUG
Molecule: ribosomal RNA, 497 nt
Filed under: uncultured bacterium
Lineage: Bacteria
Description: partial 16S ribosomal RNA
Rfam family: Bacterial small subunit ribosomal RNA
Source: RNAcentral